Molecule: long non-coding RNA, 1667 nt
Organism: Solanum lycopersicum (tomato)
Lineage: Eukaryota; Viridiplantae; Streptophyta; Magnoliopsida; Solanales; Solanaceae
Source: RefSeq, a predicted model, not a curated record
CCACGAUUUCUUAAAAAAAGGAAAUGACACGUAUGCAGGCUUUUUCUCCUUUGUUUUUUUUCUUAAAGAAAAUUAAAAUAAAAUUAUAGUGCAUCACGUGCUUUCCAUGUGAUGCCGGUCGGCGGGAGCCGGAAGGAUGAGAAGACGAUAAAAUAAGUGUUGAAAUACUCCAUCUCCGUUCUCUCCUCAGUCCCUGCGGCUGCCAAAGAUGAAAAUUCCUCAAUUCCACAAUCCCAAUUUACGUAAUUGCGUGCUUCGAUCUCUGGGAUCAAGGUGAAGUAGUUAAAGCUUUGAACAGAGAGAUAAGUUGCACGGUGCCGACUGUCCAUUCUGGGUUUUAGUCGAAUAUAGCCAAGCGAAUAGAACGAAUCAUCUUGUUUUGAUUGAAUACAGACAUGGUCGUUUGGAGUUAAGCACACAUGCGUCCCAUUUUGAUGACACAACUGAAUAAGUAUUGUGCUUAGAGAGAAAAAAAGCUGAACGCUUAGAGCUGGAUCUCAAGCAGCAAACACCUAUAAGUGGAAGCCACACACAUGUUAAAUACAGCAUUGUUCAGGGUAGAUUUGGCUGGCUGCCCAAUGGUAUUCUUAUACAUUCUGGUGUCAGUUGAGGAUAUUGCCAAUAUAGCAGGAAACUCCCAAAUACGGAGGCUUGCAACAUCUGUGGUGGAUCCGAAUCAGAAAUUGAAGAUUGAGACCUGGAAGCUUGAAUAUGUAUAUUGUUUUAUGGAGAAGUUCGUUGGAGGAAGACAGCUUUCAAGUGUGUGGUUUAUUCCGAGAUAACUGAAGUGAUGCAAUUUUCUAUGAUUGAUGGAAGUGGAAGUUCAGCAAAUGAGGGAGGCUUAGCUACCUGAUGUAGGGGUGUGAUACCAUGUUUAAGUCAGCUAAGCUGCUAUAAUUCCACAUUUAAUGCAUCCAUCCCGAAGAGGAAAUUCUAGGAUGCAUUCGAAUCUGACGUCAACGGCGUAGAUGGAGGUAGCAGACUUUUGGUUUUGUUACUAGUUGUAGAUUUGGCAAUUGGAGGGGGUUGUGAAGAAGCUGAAGAUGGAUUUGAAGAAGGAGCCGGCUUAUCCGAGCUACUCUGAGGUUUCUUGUUGUUUGAUGGAUUUGAAGAUGUAGUGGGCUUAUUCGAGCUGCUCUGAGGUUUCUUCUUGUCCCCUUCACCUGAUGGAUUCGAAGAUGGAGUCUGGUUAUUCAAGCUGCUCUGAGGUUUCUUGCUGGUCCCUUCACUUGCCUUGUCCUCCAUCCGAUGGUGGCGAACUUUGGUAGACUUUAAGCUCAUUGGAACGAUACAAUGGCAAACGAAACCUACACACACCAAUAAUUAGUAAGUUACUAAAUUUCUCAUAUCAACAAGUUGCAGAACACCCCCUCAAUGACAGCAAACUCAUGUUGAAGAUUCCUAUCAGUGUUAAAGGCUGCGAAAAACCUUAAUGCAGCCACUGAACUCGGUAGGAAUCUUCUGCAUAAAAAUCAUUGUCAAGGACAAACACUGAGAGUUCUAUGAAUCCUGAUUUCAACAUGCCUAGAAAACAAGGUACUCUCUCCAUCCCAAUUUACAUAACACUUAACUAUUCAAAGUGUUUGAAUUUUGACCAAACAUUUUAAAAUAUGUUUUGCGAAUAUUCAAACAUGUGAAAUAAUAAGUCUGACAUGAAAUCUUACCAA